GCUCUAGUAGCUUAGACAUAAAUAGCGCCGGUCUUGUAAUCCGGAGGUCGAGGGUUUAAGUCCCUCCUAGCGCC
RNAcentral lists this transfer RNA (74 nucleotides) under Liobagrus anguillicauda. RNAcentral's name for it is "tRNA-Thr". It matches the Rfam family "tRNA". Rfam says of the family: Transfer RNA (tRNA) molecules are approximately 80 nucleotides in length. Their secondary structure includes four short double-helical elements and three loops (D, anti-codon, and T loops). RNAcentral also lists the same sequence under 4 other names. The record is from RNAcentral. Lineage: Eukaryota; Metazoa; Chordata; Actinopteri; Siluriformes; Amblycipitidae.